Molecule: ribosomal RNA, 484 nt
Filed under: uncultured bacterium
Lineage: Bacteria
Description: partial 16S ribosomal RNA
Rfam family: Bacterial small subunit ribosomal RNA
Source: RNAcentral
AUUGAACGCUGGCGGCAUGCCUAACACAUGCAAGUCGAGCGGAUGAAGGGAGCUUUCUCCUGGUUUCAGCGGCGGACGGGUGAGUGAUUCCUAGGAAUCUGCCUGGUAUUUGGGGAUAACGUCCGUAAACGGGCGCUAAUACCGCAUACGUCCUUAUUUCGAAAGUGGUGGUUCUUCGGAGCUAACGCUAUUAGCUGAGCCUAGGUCGGAUUAGCUAGUUGGUUGGGUAAAGGCUUACCAAGGCGACGAUCCGUAACUGGACUGAGAGGAUGAUCAGUCACACUGGAACUGAGACACGGUCCAGACUCCUACGGGAGGCAGCAGUGGGGAAUAUUGGGCAAUGGGCGAAAGCCUGAUCCAGCAAUGCCGCGUGUGUGAAGAAGGUCUUCGGAUCGUAAAGCACUUUAAGUAGGGAGGAAGAGCAGUAAGUUAAUACCUUGAUGUUUUGACGUUACCAAAAGAAUAAGCCACGGCUAACUUCGCG